AGUGAACGCUGGCGGUAGGCCUAACACAUGCAAGUCGAACGGCAGCACAGUAAGAGCUUGCUCUUACGGGUGGCGAGUGGCGGACGGGUGAGGAAUACAUCGGAAUCUACUUUUUCGUGGGGGAUAACGUAGGGAAACUUACGCUAAUACCGCAUACGACCUACGGGUGAAAGCAGGGGAUCUUCGGACCUUGCGCGACUGAAUGAGCCGAUGUCGGAUUAGCUAGUUGGCGGGGUAAAGGCCCACCAAGGCGACGAUCCGUAGCUGGUCUGAGAGGAUGAUCAGCCACACUGGAACUGAGACACGGUCCAGACUCCUACGGGAGGCAGCAGUGGGGAAUAUUGGACAAUGGGCGCAAGCCUGAUCCAGCCAUUCCGCGUGGGUGAAGAAGGCCUUCGGGUUGUAAAGCCCUUUUGUUGGGAAAGAAAAGCAGCAGGUUAAUACCCCGCUGUUCUGACGGUACCCAAAGAAUAAGCACCGGCUAACUUCGUG
RNAcentral lists this ribosomal RNA (492 nucleotides) under uncultured bacterium. RNAcentral describes it as "partial 16S ribosomal RNA". It matches the Rfam family "Bacterial small subunit ribosomal RNA", at positions 29 to 507 of the family's 1533-position model. The record is from RNAcentral.